RNAcentral lists this transfer RNA (72 nucleotides) under Dipodomys ordii (Ord's kangaroo rat). It matches the Rfam family "tRNA". Rfam says of the family: Transfer RNA (tRNA) molecules are approximately 80 nucleotides in length. Their secondary structure includes four short double-helical elements and three loops (D, anti-codon, and T loops). Lineage: Eukaryota; Metazoa; Chordata; Mammalia; Rodentia; Heteromyidae. The record is from Rfam by way of RNAcentral.
GGGGAUAUAGCUUAGUGCUAGAGUACCUGCCUAGCAUGCUCAAGGGCUUGGGUUCAAUCCCCAGUAUUGCUA